AUUUAGAUGACCUAGUCCUCCCGCAGUUCGCAGCCCAUAUGCCAGGCCCUGCUGCUGGUUCUGAGAGCGGCGGAGGAGGGGCGCGUCCACUCACCUCCGUUUGUACUCGUCACGCUCGCGCUUCACCUUGGCCAGCACGUUGUAGAGAGCGCGGAUCUCUGGCGUGAUGGUGUCGAUCUGCACGCCUACGCCGUCCGGGUGUACCCAGGACACGCCGGGGCCCUGCACAGUCUCCACGCCGCCGCCUCCCGUGCGCCGCACCUGCGUGUAGCUCCAGAUGGUCCCGGGCAGGCGACCGUAAUGCUGCGGGUGCGAGCCGCCGCCGGGGGGCAGGCCGCCCAGGGCCACCGCGUUGGCGUUGACGCCGGUGGCCGCGCCGAGGGCCUGCCCGCUUCCCGCAGCCGACGGCCGCAGCAGCUCGGGCCCGGUCUGCACGGCCUGCUCGCGGGAGAAGGUCUUGUAGCGCAGCCGCCGAUCGCGCUCGCUCUGCUGCUGCUCCAGCUGUUUCUCCAGGAGCCGGUUGCGCCGCUCAAGCUCGUGCACCUUGGCCAAGAAGCAGCGGAAACGCACGUUGAGCCCCUUGAGGAGGUGGAUGUUGGAGCCCAGAUCGUCCCGCAGCGCCGCCGUUACGGGCGAGGGCCCCGGCCCGGCCCCGCCACCCCCGCCGCCGCCUGCGCAGCCGCCGCCCCCCGGCGGGCAGCCGAAGGCCAAGGCCAUCUCUCCGAACAGCAGCGAGUUAACCAUGCGCCGGCUGCGUGGCUCAGGGCCCCGGGCCCGUGGCUCCAGAUGCGGCUCCAGCUCGGGGCCGGGCUCCCGGCGCGGCCGGGCCAGGGCGGGCGCGGGCUCCAGAGCGGCCGGGGUGGUGUUAGGUGCCAGAUGUGGCUCCGCUGCGUCGGGAGAGAUGGUGGGACGAGCUGGAGGUCGCGGUGGCUGCGUGGGGCUGGUGAGGGGUCCGGUGCCUGCGCCGCGACUGUCAGAGCUGCUAUGGACCGGCCGCAGCAGCAGCUCGCAGAGGACUCUCAGCCGGCGCUGCCCCCUCUGCGGCGAGCCCCGCCCUCUGCAGGCACAGACCACGCCUCCAGGGCCCGCCCUCUGCAGACACAGACCACACCCCCUGCCUAGCUGCUCUCUGCAGGCCUAGGCCACGCCCCUUCCCGGCCCGCCCUCUAUAGGCGAAGGCCUACCUCCCUUGCCUGGACCGCCCUCUGCGGACAUAGG
This 1218-nucleotide long non-coding RNA is filed under the name Mus spicilegus (steppe mouse). RNAcentral's name for it is "lncRNA (ENSMSIG00000030153.1)". Lineage: Eukaryota; Metazoa; Chordata; Mammalia; Rodentia; Muridae. The record is from RNAcentral.